RNAcentral lists this ribosomal RNA (233 nucleotides) under uncultured bacterium. RNAcentral's name for it is "partial 16S ribosomal RNA". It matches the Rfam family "Bacterial small subunit ribosomal RNA", at positions 102 to 334 of the family's 1533-position model. The record is from RNAcentral.
CACGGGUGAGUAACGCGUAUCCAACCUGCCGUCUACUCUUGGACAGCCUUCUGAAAGGAAGAUUAAUACAAGAUGGCAUCAUGAGUCCGCAUGUUCACAUGAUUAAAGGUAUUCCGGUAGACGAUGGGGAUGCGUUCCAUUAGAUAGUAGGCGGGGUAACGGCCCACCUAGUCUUCGAUGGAUAGGGGUUCUGAGAGGAAGGUCCCCCACAUUGGUACUGAGACACGGACCAA